This is a small nucleolar RNA of Panthera pardus (leopard), 132 nucleotides long. NCBI's taxonomy places the organism in Eukaryota, Metazoa, Chordata, Mammalia, Carnivora, Felidae. The record is from Ensembl.
GCAGAACCACCAUACCACCUUUAAACAUUAUGUCUACCUCACAGUGCUCCAUGCCAGAGCAGACUGUCUCCCCAAACCAUUCUCUGGCCUCUGUGGCGGUAGGCUCUGGGUAUUGAAGUGGGUUGCAGAGUA